AUUGAACGCUGGCGGCAGGCCUAACACAUGCGAGUCGAACGGUAACAGGAAGAAGCUUGCUUCUUUGCUGACGAGUGGCGGACGGGUGAGUAAUGUCUGGGAAACUGCCUGAUGGAGGGGGAUAACUACUGGAAACGGUAGCUAAUACCGCAUAACGUCGCAAAACCAAAGAGGGGGACCUUCGGGCCUCUUGCCAUCGGAUGUGCCCAGAUGGGAUUAGCUAGUAGGUGGGGUAACGGCUCACCUAGGCGACGAUCCCUAGCUGGUCUGAGAGGAUGACCAGCCACACUGGAACUGAGACACGGUCCAGACUCCUACGGGAGGCAGCAGUGGGGAAUAUUGCACAAUGGGCGCAAGCCUGAUGCAGCCAUGCCGCGUGUAUGAAGAAGGCCUUCGGGUUGUAAAGUACUUUCAGCGGGGAGGAAGGGAGUAAAGUUAAUACCUUUGCUCAUUGACGUUACCCGCAGAAGAAGCACCGGCUAACUCCGUG
Molecule: ribosomal RNA, 490 nt
Filed under: uncultured bacterium
Lineage: Bacteria
Description: partial 16S ribosomal RNA
Rfam family: Bacterial small subunit ribosomal RNA
Source: RNAcentral